GGCCGACUAGCUCAGUUGGUUAGAGCGUGGUGCUAAUACAUUCGUAUACGCCAAGGUCGUCGGUUCGACCCCGGCGUUGGCCA
Trametopsis cervina is the source of this 83-nucleotide non-coding RNA. Lineage: Eukaryota; Fungi; Basidiomycota; Agaricomycetes; Polyporales; Irpicaceae. The record is from the annotation of a GenBank genome assembly.